GUGAGUGUGGGAAGCUCUCAGCCGAGCCUUUAUAUUAAAGGUAGGGUUGGAUGUGGACGUCUGCUGUAUCCCGGCUCGUCUUGAAAUGUAUCAGCCGGUCUGGCCUUGGUUUCUAAUGACGGUGUGAUAAGAUACCUCUGUGUAACACUGUGUUUUUGAAUCCAAGGGGUGGACUGCUUCUAACUGUCCCUAGGGACCAUAUUAAAG
This 207-nucleotide unclassified non-coding RNA is filed under the name uncultured Clavariadelphus. RNAcentral's name for it is "sequence contains ITS2". Lineage: Eukaryota; Fungi; Basidiomycota; Agaricomycetes; Gomphales; Gomphaceae. The record is from RNAcentral.